CACCCAAAACAUUCCAGUCUUUCCUUUCUUGCCACUUGAGAGGGGGGUUGUUUAUUGACAUUAUGCAAGUGCUGAAAUAUUUUUCUUUUUCUUCUCUCCCGCCCCUUUUUAGCUUUCUCCCCCUCUGUCCUCUGGGGGUUGCAAAGGUAGUUCAAACCCCUCCAGUCAUGUCGGCUUAUCAGCCAAAGGAGAUGCAUUCCUCUGGGCUGCUCCCUUUAUAAGUCACUGCUGGCCGGGCGCCCGCUCGCCGCUCCGCAGCACUCCGCGCCAGCAGCGCUGCCUGCUGCCCCGCCAUGCCCUAGCCCGGGCCCCCGGACCCGCUCGCCCACGGGGGGACGCGCAGCAACCCGGGGGAGGGCCGGCGGCGAUGGCACCCCCGUCCCCCGCCCGCCCCUGAGGGCGGCUGCUGCCGGGAUGUUCAGCUGGCAGCGGAGCUUCACCCUAGGAGCGCCCUGGAGGAGAGCAGGUAAGAAGAGCCCACCUGCUGAGGACAAAGUUGUGUUAACACAUAUGAAGAUAUUGAGCAAUGAAGGAGUUCAAAACCCAGGGUUAAUCACAGAGGCUUCAGCUGACACAGCCUGCACAGAAGAGUCCCAUCUCCCUGGUGCCAGCUUCCCACCGGCCUGCCAGGGAAAUCCGAAUGCAGCAGCCGAACCAGCAGAUCCAGACUAUGCAGAUGCCCCAGCAAGCACAGACUAUGUAGCCACGCUACCUGACCUCAGUGCCUUCCAGUCCAAGUGCCGACUUCACAGAUUCUCCAAAUUCGAAUCUGAGGACUCAGGGGUUGAAUUGCCAAGUGGGGCUAAUUCUCCAUCAACACCAACGGGUUCAGAGAAGAGCUUUGUGCUUCACAGCAGAGACUCAUUUUGUGACUCAGGUGUGCUUAGCACUUCUUCUUCUCCAGAAAUUGACCAUCUGGUAAUGAGAACAUGUAAAGAGCAUGCCAGAAAAGUCAGCCACCAAGAUCCAGAGAGCAAAAAGCAAGCUGAGUACUACAGCCAGGAGGCAGAUGCUGUGCAGGGUCCCACAGCUUCCCUUGGAGACUUAAGUGUCCCUCAGGAAGAAAGUCCAGAUGAACAUUUUGACCAGAGCGAAAAUCAAUCUCUGGAAAAGGAACCCACCCCAGAGAUGGACCCUGCAAGGGAAAGCACUCUUCACACCCCAGGUCCCAUAGAAGAGCCAAAGACAGUUGCUGACAAUUUCCCAGAGAACUUUGGCAGCAUGCAAGACCUCCAGAUCCAUGGACAUCAGCUGAAGAAGUACCCCACAAGUGACAGUCUAGAUGAGUACAUGGAUAAAUGCUGUAGGCUGAGUGAGGUGAACCAAGGUAACAGCAAAGCCCUAGGAUCUGGUCUGGGAUACCUGGAACACAUUUGCCAACUGAUUGAGAAGAUUGGGCAGCUGCAGGAGCACAACAUGCAUCUCCAAAAGCAAGUGUGCAGCUUGCAGAAAGAGCAGAAGAUAAGCCAGAUAAAAGAGGAGUACGUUCUGCAGCAUUGCUCCUGUGGAGCUGCUAGCAUCCUCAACUCACACCAAGACGUGAAGACAUCUUUUGCUGGGAGGAACAGACCUCACAGCCUCUUGGUUCAGACUGGAAACCCAUCUGAUCUUUCCAUCAUCCCAGAAAUAGGAGCGAACACUGAAAAGCUGAGCAGCUGCAAUGGAAGUGAGAGAUACCUGGAAUCAGGAAACAGCCAACCGAUGGUGGGGCUCAGGAAGUUGUCAAACAAUAGGAACAACAAGGAGAAUGAGUACAGAGAAGCUGGUAGUAUGACUGAGGUACAGGCUUUUCCUUCAAAGGACCCUGCAGUAAGAAAGGGUCUGGACGUCAGCAAGAACAUCUCGGGUGAGAGCCAUGCUUGGGGAAGAAUGAAAGAUCUUAUGAGGAAGACACGUCUGAGAAACCAGAACAAGCUGGGGCUGUCCUCUGCUGCUCUGAAGAGGUCCUGUCCACAGUUGUACAGGCCAGAUAUUAUGUCUUCAGAGCUGAGGAAAACUGAGAGGAACUCCAUGAUCAUUCUGGGGCAAAAUACAAAGAAUGAAAACAUAUGGCCUUUCUGAUAACCUGAGCUAAAUAGAACAAGGUAAAAUAAGUAAAGCAGCAUGCGUUUCUUUGUGGGGUGGAGGGGUUUUUUUGCCUCUUCUCAGCACAGAAAUGAGACAGUCCUGUUCCUUCAUCCAGACACACUCCAACAUGAAAGGGCAAAAACAUGUCAGAUUUUUGAAGUUCAAAUUAUAUGGAUUCAUGCCAGCUGAGGAUUGGCCCAUAUACCUUCAUUUUAAUAGUCACCCUUUGGAAAAAAAAAAAACAAACAAACAAACCCAAACAACCAAAACCAAACACAAAACACAAUUUAAAGGUAUCCGUAGUCAUACAGGCUACAUCAUGCAGUCUUUUUGUAAGAAGUACAGCAGCAAAUUCUUCUAUCUGCAGUCAGUUAAAAGACUCCCAAAUAAUAAGCCAACCAGGUGUCUUGGGAAAGAGAUAAUUUGCCCAUAAUCAAGACUAAAAGAGAACCAGGCUCAGCCUCAUCUUCCGUCUUCCCAACUCAGCCCAUGGGUUAAAUACAGAGAAACUUUCUAGUCUCUCAUAUUCACUGGAUGUUUCUGUUUCAGAAAGGCAAAAUGGGAACACCAGUGGACACAAACCCAAGAACCCCACGGUUACUUUGUGCAACCUGCAUCCUGUAGUUGUCAACAGAGCAACCCCGAUUUGAGCAUUGGAAGGGAAAGAGAGAAGGGGGAAGUAGAGAAGGGUGCACGGACCUUUCUGUGCUCAGCUAUGUACAGCUUUGCUCCCAAAUCUGAAAUAUACUCAGAAAAGUCAAGCCACAGAUGAAAAUUAUUGUUAGCAUCUUGGCAAUGUAAACAAUAGAGAUUUGGAAAUUCUUCCUCCUCCUCUCUGGGUCAGGAACACCAUUACUUGAAACAUUGAAGCUUUUAAAUUAUCAUUGCUUUCUGGAGACCUUCUCCAGCUGAAAUAAAUUUAAGCUUUAUGGGACACAGCAGCAUGUAGAAGGGUGCCAGGGACUCAUUGCCCAGUGCAGAAGUGCCUGUUGGAAGGACAGCUUCCUCUCGGGGUGGGCUGAGUGGCAGUCUCUGUGUGUCCCCAACGCCGCUCCUCCCUUCAGAGCAGCAUCUGACCAGCUGUGCCAUUUUACUGGAAUCUAACAGGAAAACCAAGUCUGUAAAGCCAAGACUUCCUACAAGGCCAUUCCUGAAUCCACCACUAGCUUCUAAUCCUGCAAGCCUGCUCUUUCUACAGAGGCCCCUCAAAUACAGUGCUGCCCUACAGGCAUCAUGCAGGUUCAUUGAAGAGACCAGACUGAGGAGCACUGUGGGAAUUAGCCUUUAAAGAGGCCAGAGGGUUCAUCUGAGGCAAUACCUCAGUUUCACCAGGCAGCCCAGCUCUUAUGCUAUCAGUUUUUUUGGGGGGAGGGAACCAGGCUUGAAUUCCUACUUUUAAAUUACAUGUUAAGUCCUCUGGCUGUGCAGGUAGGGUAGUCAUUUUGUCAAAUGGCUCAGUCUAUGCUCUCUCUACUGGAGAGAGGCAAGAGGGAGCACAGAGCUGCAAGGAAGAGUUAUUAAAAUACAGGCAUCCUUUACAAGUUGCUGGUCUUUAGGGCCCUGCUAGCAAUCAUGUAACACUGUGGCCAUGUUUGGUGACUGCCUUAUAGCCCCGUGCCCACUGAUUCCAGACUCAAUGAGCAGAUAGUGCAUGCUUCUGAAGGUCCCAUGGUUGCAGUGGUCUCUGCACACCAGCUCGUACUGGUAUUAGCACAAUAAUUAAUGCACAUAGAGCAAAGAUUUAAAUAAACCAACUUUGCCUCUUGUAAAUAGAGUAUUCUACCCCUUAAAUUACAAUGUAACUGGAAGUCAAGCAAUUGCUCUUUGAAAAUCCUUUCCUAACCCAAACUUGCCUGGGAACCAAGAUUUGAGAAGCUGGCAGGAAUGGAUCAACUUCAGCAGGCUUAGCCUUUCAGUAACACAUGCUUCCCCCUUGCCUACUGGGAUCAGCUGGAGCCCUAAAAGUCUGCCAAACCUGAGCAGGAUCUCUUCUGAGAUUCAGAGCUCUCCAGCCACACAUCCAGGCAGCAGGCCAGGCUUGGUGUUUCAAAUAGCAGAAGGGUUGUUACUUAGCACCUCAAAAAAUACCCCCCGAACAACAACAAAAAUAAAACAACCCCCCCACCAACCAACAGCCCCAAAAAAACCCAAACCCAACCAAACCAAAAACCACCCACCUAAUUAAAAAAUCCAAAAGGUCUGUGCUACCUAAAAUACGUGCUGCGUUUAAUACUUCAGUUGUAGCUGCUGCAGGACUUGUUCACUGUGUAUCUUGCUAGCUUCAUCCAAAGCUAGAAGGAUUCAUAACUUGAUUAUUCUGUGAAUAGUCUGUAUAUCUCCAUAAAUACAGGGGACUAAAAUCCUCCAUUAACUUAUACCCUCCAUUAUCCCUCCAGCUUUACAGAGUCUGUAAGGAAUGUGAAUCAGUGCAAACUGAAUUUUAAGUGUUCUAAGAUGUAGCACCAUGAACUGCUAUUUCCAGCCACCACCAUUCACAUUAUAAGUCUAUUUUGUUUUUUAUUUUUACUAAAAUGAACUAGCACUCUUUUUUACUAUAGCAUUAUAUGAAAUAUAUUCAUGUAUUUUCAGAAAUAAAUAUAUUUAUAACAUGUAACAUACUGUAUAGUUCUCCAUUACAGAAUGCAUUGUAAUACAAGCAUAAAAAAUUUAAUAAAAGCAUCACUACAAUAAUUGUUUUCAGAUAUUAAUGAAUCCCUGGAUGGCAGCACAGCAGCUGCCACACAUUUAAAGUUUCAGGUGAGCACAGCU
This 4836-nucleotide long non-coding RNA is filed under the name Strigops habroptila (Kakapo). RNAcentral describes it as "lncRNA (ENSSHBG00005014214.1)". Lineage: Eukaryota; Metazoa; Chordata; Aves; Psittaciformes; Psittacidae. The record is from RNAcentral.